Molecule: long non-coding RNA, 766 nt
Organism: Nicotiana tabacum (common tobacco)
Lineage: Eukaryota; Viridiplantae; Streptophyta; Magnoliopsida; Solanales; Solanaceae
Source: RefSeq, a predicted model, not a curated record
AUUUUUGUGAAAUUCCUUGCUUUAAUAUCUUAACUUUAAGAAUCACAUCUGCCAUGUAGAUUCGGUCAACACAAGAAGCCACAGACAUUUUUUUAGAAGGUCAGAUUCGGCCUCUGUAUCAAGGAUUCAGAUCCGUUGAACGGAUACUUUCUUUUUCCUCUCAACAAAAUUUCUCAAACAGCUUUUGAAAUUCAAACGGCCAGUGAUUCAUAAAAGUCCCGCCCAAGCCAAGAAACCUAAUACUUUCGCCUAUAAAUACUCACUUUUGGAUCCAUUUUAGGGGGACUCCGGGCCGCCACUCGAUGACUCCUAAAAGCUACUGCUCUCAUUCGUUCUUAUAAUUUUGCCUUGCCAAAAAUCUUCUCUUUUCUUUUGUCUCUUGAUUGUGUUGGUUUUAAAUACAAGUACUGCAUUUUGUUGCCUAUUGCAUCGUUUAACAAUCAUUUGAGUUAGCAAGUUUGAGGUCGGAGUUCGGUAGAUCCAAAGCCAACGCCUCAGUUCGCUGCCCUAAAAUAGUUAUAAAGAGUCUCAAAGUGAGAAUCUCCACCACCAUCACAUGGAGUCAGUCACAUUCCAUCUACUAGAGUUACCGGAUAGCAAGAAAGAAACAAGUGAAACGCUUGGGGCGCCACUUUUGCUAUUCUUUUUAUCUAUCUUUAUUAUUAUUAAUUUAUUUCUAUAUUUGGAGUUUAUUUUAGUUUGGGGUUCUAGUACUUAUAUAAUCUUUAGGAAUUUAAGAUCACUAAUUUAAUAACCUUUUCAUCAA